Molecule: microRNA precursor, 105 nt
Filed under: Paramuricea clavata
Lineage: Eukaryota; Metazoa; Cnidaria; Anthozoa; Malacalcyonacea; Plexauridae
Source: RNAcentral
CAUCUAAUUUGAAUGUUUAUGCCGAACAUAUACAACGGCAUAAACAUCUAAGUUGAAUGUUUAUGCCGCGUUGAAUAUGUUCGGCAUAAACAUUCAAGUUAGAUG